GCAGAGAGGGAGAUACACAGAUAUGGAAGGGUAAUGUGUGAAAACGAGACAUCAAUGAGGACGAAGUUCAAGGAAGAUGUAGAACAGAUCAAUAUUAGCUAGGGGAAGGUGACCACAAAGCAUACAAAGAUAACAUUUAAUUCGGAAGAUAGUCAGACUGGUCAAAGAACUAGGUGGGGGGAGGGAUGGAGAGAGAGGGAAAGCAAUGGUUGCUUGAAGUUAGAGACAUCAAUAUUCAUACCGCUAGGGUGUAAGCUGCCCAAGCAUUAGCCAGAUGACUCGCGUGUCCUGCUUCAGUCUGAUAACUUCAAGAAUUGUGGGC
Long non-coding RNA from Amblyraja radiata (thorny skate), 322 nucleotides. RefSeq lists it as uncharacterized. NCBI's taxonomy places the organism in Eukaryota, Metazoa, Chordata, Chondrichthyes, Rajiformes, Rajidae. The record is from RefSeq and is a predicted model, not a curated record. The transcript is spliced from 3 exons.